GAGCUGAGAGGACGCACAAUAAAAUAUUCCCUGUUCAUGUUUACUUUGUAUUCUGUUUAUGUUCCUGGUGAACCAUAAACUAGCAACCGACGACAAGGAUGUGACCUGGGCCACAAACUGUGUGCAAACACCAUUUUUUUUGUCAGCAGGAAAAACAUCACCUGCUCUUUGAAAACGGUGCAGGAAUGUGGACAUAAUAUUGAGGGAAAUGCUUGUGAGGGGACUUGGGCUGCGGUACAGCACAAAGGAGAGCCCAUCGCCCAAUUUGUGCUUACCCUAGAGUUAGUGGAACAUUGUGAAUUCAGAGGAUUCCUCCAGGAUGCCUUGCGGAACUGUUUCGUAAUGGCCUUUGACACAAAGCCAUCCAACAGAAGCUACUAACAAGGUGAAUCACUGAAGUCCAGGCAACAACCUGGUAGAUCUCCUCUGCAGCCUGUCUACUGUGAAUACAUCUCUCCUAGAAUGGAGCAGCAAGAUCUGUACACAGUGCUCCAGCUGUGGCCUAAUUAACAUUCCAUACAGCUCCAUCAUAACCUCCCUGUUCUCAUAUUCAGUACCUUGGCUAAUAAAGGCAAGUAUUCCAUAUACUUUGUUAUCCAUCUCAUCUACCUAUCCUGUCAAAGAUCUAUGGACAUGCACACUGAGGUCGUUCUGAUCCGAGGAUCCUACCAUUCAACAUGUACUACCUUACCUUGUUAGUUCUCUUAAAUGUAUCACCUCGUACUUUGAAGGAUUAAAUUAUAUUUGCCACUGUUCACCCUGACUUUCUUCAUUGCUAUUUAUGCCCCAUGAAGUUUUAAGUCACCUGUGACCUUACUGAUCAUACCUCUAAUAUUCAUGUUUAGAUCAUUAACGUAAGCAGCAAACAGCACAGGACCCAGCACUGAACCCUGUGGUACACAACUGGACAUAAGCUUCCAGUCACAAAAACACCUUUCAACCAUCACCUUUUGCUUCCUGCCGCUAAGCCAAUUUAGAAG
This is a non-coding RNA of Chiloscyllium plagiosum (whitespotted bambooshark), 980 nucleotides long. The record is from RefSeq and is a predicted model, not a curated record. Lineage: Eukaryota; Metazoa; Chordata; Chondrichthyes; Orectolobiformes; Hemiscylliidae.